GAUGAACGCUGGCGGCGUGCCUAACACAUGCAAGUCGAGCGAACCCUUCGGGGUGAGCGGCGGACGGGUGAGUAACGCGUGGGUAACCUGCCCUGUACACACGGAUAACAUAUCGAAAGGUAUGCUAAUACGGGAUAAUAUAUGAGAGUCGCAUGGCUUUUGUAUCAAAGCUCCGGCGGUACAGGAUGGACCCGCGUCUGAUUAGCUAGUUGGUAAGGUAACGGCUUACCAAGGCAACGAUCAGUAGCCGACCUGAGAGGGUGAUCGGCCACAUUGGAACUGAGACACGGUCCAAACUCCUACGGGAGGCAGCAGUGGGGAAUAUUGCACAAUGGGCGAAAGCCUGAUGCAGCAACGCCGCGUGAGCGAUGAAGGCCUUCGGGUCGUAAAGCUCUGUCCUCAAGGAAGAUAAUGACGGUACUUGAGGAGGAAGCCCCGGCUAACUACGUGCCAGCAGCCGCGGUAAUACGUAGGGGGCUAGCGUUAUCCGGAAUUACUGGGCGUAAAGGGUGCGUAGGCGGUCUUUCAAGCCAGAAGUGAAAGGCUACGGCUCAACCGUAGUAAGCUUUUGGAACUGUAGGACUUGAGUUCAGGAGAGGAGAGUGGAAUUCCUAGUGUAGCGGUGAAAUGCGUAGAUAUUAGGAGGAACACCAGUAGCGAAGGCGGCUCUCUGGACUGUAACUGAUGCUGAGGCACGAAAGCGUGGGGAGCAAACAGGAUUAGAUACCCUGGUAGUCCACGCCGUAAACGAUGAGUACUAGGUGUCGGGGGUUACCCCCCUCGGUGCCGCAGCUAACGCAUUAAGUACUCCGCCUGGGAAGUACGCUCGCAAGAGUGAAACUCAAAAGGAAUUGACGGGGACCCGCACAAGUAGCGGAGCAUGUGGUUUAAUUCGAAGCAACGCGAAGAACCUUACCUAAGCUUGACAUCCCAUUGACCUCUCCCUAAUCGGAGAUUUCCCUUCGGGGACAGUGGUGACAGGUGGUGCAUGGUUGUCGUCAGCUCGUGUCGUGAGAUGUUGGGUUGAGUCCCGCAACGAGCGCAACCCUUGCCUUUAGUUGCCAGCAUUAAGUUGGGCACUCUAGAGGGACUGCCGAGGAUAACUCGGAGGAAGGUGGGGAUGACGUCAAAUCAUCAUGCCCCUUAUGCUUAGGGCUACACACGUGCUACAAUGGGUGGUACAGAGGGUUGCCAAGCCGUGAGGUGGAGCUAAUCCCUUAAAGCCAUUCUCAGUUCGGAUUGUAGGCUGAAACUCGCCUACAUGAAGCUGGAGUUACUAGUAAUCGCAGAUCAGAAUGCUGCGGUGAAUGCGUUCCCGGGUCU
Molecule: ribosomal RNA, 1323 nt
Filed under: uncultured bacterium
Lineage: Bacteria
Description: partial 16S ribosomal RNA
Rfam family: Bacterial small subunit ribosomal RNA
Source: RNAcentral